CGGUACUAGUUUAAAAAAAACAAUAAAAUUCUGUUGGAAAUAUUAUAUGAAUUGGUGGGUAUUUUGAAAUUAAACAAAAAUCUAACCAGUGUCGCAUUCUGGGGGAGUACAUGUGCUCAAAGGGAAAAUAAAUAUAAUUUUCUGCAUAAAAUGGCUUAAUUUAUUUUAGCCACCCGCUCGGCGAUAGUUUUGCAUCCAUAUCAUUUCAACCCUGGCUACGCUAC
This 224-nucleotide long non-coding RNA is filed under the name Mytilus galloprovincialis (Mediterranean mussel). The record is from RNAcentral. Lineage: Eukaryota; Metazoa; Mollusca; Bivalvia; Mytilida; Mytilidae.